RNAcentral lists this ribosomal RNA (426 nucleotides) under Triticum aestivum (bread wheat). Its description in RNAcentral is "partial small subunit ribosomal RNA". The record is from RNAcentral. Lineage: Eukaryota; Viridiplantae; Streptophyta; Magnoliopsida; Poales; Poaceae.
AUGGUAGCCCUGCCGCCAGUGUUGCCGGACUAUCCGGACAUUGUAUCAUGGCGGCUCUCACCUUUAGGUGAGUUUUCCGUCAAAUCCGCAUACAAGGCUCUAGGCCGCCUCCCCGUUAUCCCUUGGCUAUCUAACUUGUGGAAGGCUCCCAUGCCCUUGAAGAUAAAGAUCUUCGUCUGGCAGCUUCUUAGAAAUCGCCUCCCUUCGGGGACCGAGGUGCUCAAGCGACAGGGCCCAGGUGAUGGACUUUGCCCUUUAUGCAGGGUCCCUGAGACUAUGGCACAUAUUAUAUUCUCGUGCACGGCGGCUCGAGUGUUUUGGCAGUUCGUCCGUGAGGCACUAGGGCCCGACUGGGAGGCCCUGGAUCUCGUGGACUUUGUCCAGGCCAGGGCUACCAUGUCAGGACGACACCGCCGCACAUUCUGA